This 319-nucleotide unclassified non-coding RNA is filed under the name Hevea brasiliensis (rubber tree). Lineage: Eukaryota; Viridiplantae; Streptophyta; Magnoliopsida; Malpighiales; Euphorbiaceae. The record is from RNAcentral.
UGCAGUUGCUGGGCUUGAAUUAGUAGGAAUUCAGGCCAAACGUUUGUUAGGCUAAGUUGAGUGGACAUGCAGCUGAUCCUAACAGUGGGAACUGACAAUUAAUACUAUCUUCAGACCUUCAGACCUUCAGAGUAAAAGAAAAAAGGGAAGAAAUAUGCUAUUCCAUAAGUCCCUUAUUUGUUCUCAUGUAUGCAUAAGGGGAACUUAAGUUUUGUCACCCAUAUCCAACUCUACUCUCAUUGGCUUGCAGCAGUAACUUUUCAUGCAUUCUUUUCUCUGUACCUUACUUUAAUAGGAGAACAAAGGCAUCAUGUUUGAG